Molecule: long non-coding RNA, 1259 nt
Filed under: Gallus gallus (chicken)
Lineage: Eukaryota; Metazoa; Chordata; Aves; Galliformes; Phasianidae
Description: lncRNA (ENSGALG00010007219.1)
Source: RNAcentral
UUUUGCUGGAGAUUCUUGCUUAUGUGAAGUCUUCUAAGGGUGUGUGAAACUUAGAGGCAGUUGUAUCUUGGAAGUUCCUGGGGAUACCAUUGGCUUUGUUGGGCAGCACUGUGCACAUGCUGGGGGUAGAGCAGACUGCUCUCCAAAAUACAGCACAUGGGAUCUUGACAUCAAAGCUGUAUGGGAGAAAACAGCAUUCCCUAUCGAGACUUUUAAUGAUGCAUUUUGCUGCCAUUGUGCUUCUGGCUGGAAUGUAGUUGCAUUUUUAGUAUGGUCUUUCUCUUACACCUCUGUUGUGCUCUCUGUCUGCCAGAGGGAGGGAUGAUGAUACUUCUCAUUCUGAACAUCAUCACUUAUCUACCACCAAUCUGGUUUAGGCCAUUCACAUCAUAGCAUGUAAGUUAGGCAACUGGAGGCAGUGAAAGGCUUGAUCUUCCUGAUCUUUCAGGAACCGUCCAAGAUCUUUCAGUUCUUGGACGGUUCUCACAACUGAGAUGGGCAAGAUGGGGAAAAGGAUGGAUGGUUUUUGGGGAAGAAGUUGUCUCAUACUGGAAGGGAUAUAUCUGUAACCUACUCUAGGUCCUGUCUAAUCCCUACAACUCUGUGAUUGUGUUUUUUCACAUCUGAAACUUAAGACAGUUGUCAGUGCAGAGCAGGCUGAUGUCUGUCAGUGCCUAACAGAUCUGGACAUGUCUGAGCUCCCUACACAAUCUGUGCAAAAUCUCAUGUAAAAGGCACUAUGAAUUAUUGCUGCUUAACAAAUCAUAUUUCAUAAUAUAAAAUCAUUUAUUUGAAAAGUCGCUGUAAAUUUUAUAAAUGGGUCCCAAUAGCAAACCUCAUCCUGACCUUUAUCUGCUACGAAACCUGAUCUAGCUGUUGAAUGUAGUGGUAAUAUUUGCAUCUAAAAAUUACUCUUCAGUGUAUCAAGGCCAACUGUGAAAUUACUGCCUAAACUCUUCUCAAAGUCUUUUUACCCCCCCUAGAAAGUAAAGAGUCAUUGAGCAAAACUGGAAGCCAUUCUUGCUCUGUACUCAUGUAAAUUUUUUAUUGAAGCAAAUGGUUUAUUUAUGAUCGUUAUUCACUUUGCAUUCAAUUUCGGUUGUUGUAAUGGCUUCUCUUUUAACAUGCAUGCUCUGACUUCUUCUGUGGAUAUCAAACACAAGAAAAUACCCUUUUUCUUUUCUGCAGUGGGCAGCUGAUGUGCCUUUCAACAGCCUUUUAAUAAUAACAACAAAACACAAAAUAUUUCAGCAGUUUGU